This 194-nucleotide ribosomal RNA is filed under the name uncultured Thiobacillus sp. RNAcentral describes it as "partial 16S ribosomal RNA". It matches the Rfam family "Bacterial small subunit ribosomal RNA", at positions 338 to 524 of the family's 1533-position model. Lineage: Bacteria; Pseudomonadati; Pseudomonadota; Betaproteobacteria; Nitrosomonadales; Thiobacillaceae. The record is from RNAcentral.
CCUACGGGAGGCAGCAGCGGGGAAUUUUGGACAAUGGGGGCAACCCUGAUCCAGCCAUUCCGCGUGAGUGAAGAAGGCCUUCGGGUUGUAAAGCUCUUUCAGCUGGAACGAAACGGUGUGCUCUAACAUAGCGCGCUAAUGACGGUACCAGCAGAAUAAGGAUCGGCUAACUCCGUGCCAGCAGCCGCGGUAAU